Molecule: unclassified non-coding RNA, 377 nt
Filed under: Zea mays
Lineage: Eukaryota; Viridiplantae; Streptophyta; Magnoliopsida; Poales; Poaceae
Description: misc RNA Zm00001eb060970
Source: RNAcentral
CCUAGCUGCUACUGACACCACCGACCGCGAGACCCAUGCAUGCAUUAUGGCCAGAGAGCUGUGCGCUGUGUGGGCAGCCACGCACAGCGGGAGGGUUUGCAUGUGUGGAUGGCACGGCAGCGACGGCACUGUGAGAGGAGAGGGAUCGGACGGGGACAGCCGGGGAUGGACGGCGGCGUGCGUGUUGGUUCCUUGUCAAGAGGGGGACAGAGGCACCAACUGGCCGGGCAGCGAUCGAAAGCAUGUCUGGUCCGGUACCGGUACCCCUUCCUCCGCCCGGUGCCAGCCGCGCUGCGCUACGGCACCACUAGCUUGCUGCAUUGCUUUCCUUUCUCAUGCGUCGGCGUCGUCGUCGCCGCCGCUUCGGCCGGCUGGGC